AUGGCUGGAGUGGUGCGCCUAUGGAACGAUUGGGAGGUCCAAAUCCUAGUGCUUGUUAGCUUCAUGCUGCAAGUGUUCCUGCUCAUGUUUGCCAGGAUGCGACGGCGGAACAUCUCCAUCGUCCCAAGGACUCUCCUCUGGCUGGCAUACCUGCUGGCAGACUCCAUAGCGAUAUACAUCCUUGGCCACAUGUCCUUCUAUGGCAAGUCCCACGGGCACCAACAGCUCAUGGCAUUCUGGGCACCCUUCUUGCUGGUGCAUCUCGGUGGCCAGGACAACAUCACCGCCUACUCCAUAGAAGACAGCCAACUCUGGCCACGCCACCUGCUCUCUUUUAUCGUGCAGACGGUGGGGGUGGCUUAUGUCCUCUACAAGUAUGUUGCUGGCAGCUGGACCUUGGUCACAGGCGCAGCGCUGAUAUUUGUCAGCGGUGUUCUCAAGUAUGGGGAGAGAGUAUGGGCACUUAAGUCUUCCAGCCUGGAUAACAUGAGGAAGUUCCUUGACAGCAGGAAGUUGAGUGAGGCUAAACAAGGACAGAGACCACGGUGGGGCCAUGGGGAUAAUUUUGAUAUUGAAAGGGUUCUGCAGGGGGCUCAUGACCUUCUACCCAUUUGCAUGGCUCAGUUUGUGGACUAUAAGUUCUGGCCAUCUGCGUUCGAGAGUGAAGCCAUAGAGGUAUUCUAUAAGAAGGGUGAAAUGUUUGAGUUGGUUGAGAUGCAACUCUCCUUGAUGUAUGAUUUCCUAUAUACCAAGGCAGUGGUGGUCUUCACAUGGUAUGGAUGCUUCAUCCGUGCCGUUUCAUCAGUUGCCAGCAUCACCACUUUCUUCUUAUUUCAAUCAAGCAUUGGAAAAAAUGACUUCAACAGAGUUGAUGCCAUUGUCACAUACAUCUUAAUAGCUGGGGCUAUCCUCCUAGAGAUGACAGCUGUGUGGAAGGCAAUGGGAUCAACAUGGGCAUGUGCAUUGUUGCAUGCUAGAAGAUGGCAUCGGCUUCACAGGAUAGUCGUAUCUGUUCGGCGGCGUUUCAAGACUGCAGAAAGAAAUAGAAGAUGGUCAGGUUCCAUUGGACACCUGGAGUUACAUUACUCAUCUCUCGGGGGUGGAGGCUGCGUGAAGAGCUUGAGACGCAAAGAUUUAUGGAAGGUGUACCACUCCCUACCUAUCAUUUCAAAUGGCACUAAGAAGUUGGUGUUGGAAGUGGUAGAAAGAAUGGUGGAGAAAUGUGAAGGAAAAGAGGAUAUCAUGAGGAGUUACAAUGGUCAGUGUACCCUGAAUGCAUGGAGCGGAUUCUUCAAGGAUCCCACCUCACACGCGGGCAUUGAUUUUGAUGAAAAAAUCAUUUCCUGGUACUUUGCCACUGAAAUAUUCUUCUCAUGGUCAUCUCGUGAGGAAGAGCAUGGUUAUGUUGUGGAGGCAAUCAAGGAAUUGUCUAACUACAUGACAUUUCUCCUUGUUGAACGUCCCUACAUGCUGCCUAGCCCCGUUCGCCACGGAUUGUAUGCCAAUACUGAAGCAGCAUAUGUGGGGCUUGAUUUUUCUGAUAGGGAACGGAUUAGCAGAAAGUGGGGGCUGGACAGAACAAAAAAAAUGAUGGAUCUGGACAAAAGAACGGACAUGGGCGAGCUACUCAAAGCAAAGUGGAAGUUGGUCAUAAUAAGUGAGGAUCUGGACAUAACAAGGGAGGAUCUAGACGGAAGAAGGAAGGAACUAGACAGAACAAGGCCGGCUUUGCAACGUGAAGCGGAACUGAACGGUACAAGGGAGGAGUUGGACAGAAGUUGGGAGGAGCUGGAUAGAAGGAGGGAGGAGCUGGACAAUAUAAGGUUUGAGGUGGGCAUUUUAGAGGUGGGCACUACAAGGGAGAAGCUGGAGGUGCUAGACAGGAGAAGGGAAGAGCUAGACAGAAGAAGGGAGGGGCUAGACAGAACUAUGGUGGGGCUGUACAGAAUGGUUAAGGCGUACGGUAGAGAGAGGGAGCUGGAGAAGCCGAACAUAACAAUGGAAAAGCUAGAGGAGCUGGACAAAAAAAGUGAGGAUCUGGAGAGAAUAGGGCUGGAUUUGCUAUAUGAAGCGGAGCUGCACGGUACAAAGGAGAGGUUGGAGAGAAGUUGGGAGGAGCUGAAUAUAAGGAGGGGGGAGCUGGAUAUAAGGAGGGAGGAGCUUAAUAGAAGGAGGGAGGAGCUGUUCAAUUCAAGGUUUGAGGUGGCCAGGACAAGAGAAAAGAUGGAGGUGUUGAACAGAAGAAGGGAGGAGCUAGAUAGAACAAGGAAGGGGCUGGAGAGAAUGGUUUGGGAUUACCGUGGAGGGAGGGAGCGAGGGGAGCUGAACAGAACAAUGGAAAAGCUAGAGGAGCUGGACAGGAGAAUGGAGGAGCUGGACAGAAGAAGGCCGACUUUGCAACGUGAAGCAGAACUGAAAGGUAUAAAGCAGCUGGACAUAAGUUGGGAGGAGCUAGACAUAGAUUGGGAGGAGCUGAACAGAAGUGAGGAGCUGGACGAUUUAAGGUUUGAGGUGGGCACGACAAGGGAGAAGCUGGAGGUGCUGGAUAGAAGAAGGGAGGAGCUGGACAACAGAAGGGAGGUGCUGGACAGAAGAAGGGAGGGGCUGGACAGAAUAGUUAGGGCUUACAGAGGAGGGUGGGACCUGGACAUGACAAUGAAAAAUCUAGAGGAGCUAGACAAAAGAAGGGAGGAGCUGGAUAGAAGAAUAGAGGAUUUGGACAUAAGAAGGGAGGGGCUGAGCAGAAUAGAUAGGGCUUACGAUGAAGGGAGGGUGCUGGAGGAGCUGAAAAAAAUGAUGAAAAAGCUAGAGGAGCUUGAUAGAAGAAGGGAGGAGCUGGAUAGAAGAAGGGAUGAGCUGGACAAAAGAAGGUUUCGGAUUGACAAUAAAGGGGAGGAGAACCUAGACCUGGCCAGAAUAAUUAAAAAGUUAGACAGAAGAAUCGAGGAGCUGCGUUUCGGACCUCCACCCUCCUUAGUCCGUGGAGCGGGGCUUGUUGUUCGGCUAUUAGAGGCGGAGGCGCAGUGCGAGGUGGAGGCUGAGGCACGGAACGAGGCGGGGGUGGAGGCGUGGGGUAAGGCGGAGGUGCGGCGGGUGCUACUUGGGGUGUGGGUGGAGAUGCUAUGCUAUGCGGCCCACCACUGCAGUAGGGAUUCCCACGCUAGGCAGCUCAACAGUGGUGGUGAAUUCAUUACCAUUGUUUGGCUUCUGUCCACUGCCAUGUUCAAUCGUCGGUACAGUGAAGAGCAUUGGUUUAAGAAGGGCGUGCGGAAGUUCUUCAGGCCACCAUUCCGUCUUGAGCAGUAUGAGGACGAGGGUUGUAUGCUACCUCUUUGCUGCGGUAUUUAUAUUGUGUAG
RNAcentral lists this ribosomal RNA (3357 nucleotides) under Triticum aestivum (bread wheat). RNAcentral describes it as "partial small subunit ribosomal RNA". Lineage: Eukaryota; Viridiplantae; Streptophyta; Magnoliopsida; Poales; Poaceae. The record is from RNAcentral.